This is a long non-coding RNA of Stylophora pistillata, 197 nucleotides long. The record is from RefSeq and is a predicted model, not a curated record. Lineage: Eukaryota; Metazoa; Cnidaria; Anthozoa; Scleractinia; Pocilloporidae.
AGAAGAAGCAGACAAUGAUCAGCAGGGACAGGCUGGAAAUGAAGAUGCACACGCUAUUAACGAAGAGGGAGAACACAUUGAAAUGCAAGUAAUAGAACACCACGAUAUUCCAGAAGUGGAAUCCCUUGAAUUGCCUGCUCUGCAACCAGCGAUGGAACAAGCCUGUAGAGGGGAUGAAAGUGCAUCUUCCUCAGGUA